AGUGAACGCUGGCGGUAGGCCUAACACAUGCAAGUCGAACGGCAGCACAGUAAGAGCUUGCUCUUACGGGUGGCGAGUGGCGGACGGGUGAGGAAUACAUCGGAAUCUACUUUUUCGUGGGGGAUAACGUAGGGAAACUUACGCUAAUACCGCAUACGACCUACGGGUGAAAGCAGGGGAUCUUCGGACCUUGCGCGAUUGAAUGAGCCGAUGUCGGAUUAGCUAGUUGGCGGGGUAAAGGCCCACCAAGGCGACGAUCCGUAGCUGGUCUGAGAGGAUGAUCAGCCACACUGGAACUGAGACACGGUCCAGACUCCUACGGGAGACAGCAGUGGGGAAUAUUGGACAAUGGGCGCAAGCCUGAUCCAGCCAUACUGCGUGGGUGAAGAAGGCCUUCGGGUUGUAAAGCCCUUUUGUUGGGAAAGAAAAGCAGCAGGUUAAUACCCCGCUGUUCUGACGGUACCCAAAGAAUAAGCACCGGCUAACUUCGUG
RNAcentral lists this ribosomal RNA (492 nucleotides) under uncultured bacterium. RNAcentral describes it as "partial 16S ribosomal RNA". It matches the Rfam family "Bacterial small subunit ribosomal RNA", at positions 29 to 507 of the family's 1533-position model. The record is from RNAcentral.